Molecule: ribosomal RNA, 343 nt
Filed under: uncultured bacterium
Lineage: Bacteria
Description: bacterial SSU rRNA
Rfam family: Bacterial small subunit ribosomal RNA
Source: RNAcentral
GGACCCGCACAAGCGGUGGAGUAUGUGGUUUAAUUCGAUGCAACACGAAGAACCUUACCAGGGUUUGAAAUCAUUUCAAAACUCCUUGAAAGAGGAGCUCCUUCGGGAUGAAAUGACAGGUGGUGCAUGGCUGUCGUCAGCUCGUGUUGUGAAAUGUCGAGUUAAGUCUCGUAACGAGCGCAACCCAUGUCUCUUGUUGCUCACUGAGUGCUUAAGAGAGACUGCCGACCAACAUCGGAGGAAGGUGUGGAUGAUGUCAAGUCAGCAUUGCCCCUUACAUCCUGGGGCUACACACGUACUACAAUGGUAAGGACAAUGAGCUGCGAUCCUGCGAAGGCUAGCC